GAUGGGGGAUGCAAGCGUUAUCAGGAAUCACUGGGCGUAAAGCGUCUGUAGGUGGUGAUGCAAGUCACUGGUGCAAAACUCUGGCUCAACCGGAGGAAAGCCAGUGAAACUGCAUGACUAGAGUGUGGGAGAGGUAGAAGGAAUUCCCUGAGUAGCGGUGAAAUGUGUAGAUACAGGGAAGAACACCGGAGGCGAAAGCGUUCUACUGGAACACAACUGACACUGAGAGACGAAAGCUAGGGGAGCGAAUGGG
RNAcentral lists this ribosomal RNA (253 nucleotides) under uncultured bacterium. RNAcentral describes it as "partial 16S ribosomal RNA". It matches the Rfam family "Bacterial small subunit ribosomal RNA", at positions 524 to 776 of the family's 1533-position model. The record is from RNAcentral.